UGAACGCUGGCGGUAUGCCUAACACAUGCAAGUCGAACGGACUGCUCCGGCAUUCAGUGGCGGACGGGUGAGUAACGCGUGAGAAUCUGCCAUUUGGAUGGGGAUAACAGAGGGAAACUUCUGCUAAGACCCAAUAUGGCGCAAGCUGAAAUAAGUUAUUGCCAAAUGAGGAGCUCGCGUCCGAUUAGUUAGUUGGUGGGGUAAGAGCCUACCAAGGCAGCGAUCGGUAGCUGGUCUGAGAGGAUGAGCAGCCACACUGGGACUGAGACACGGCCCAGACUCCUACGGGAGGCAGCAGUGGGGAAUUUUCCGCAAUGGGCGAAAGCCUGACGGAGCAAUACCGCGUGAGGGAGGAAGGCUUUUGGGUUGUAAACCUCUUUUAUUAAGGAAGAAGCAAGUGACGGUACUUAAUGAAUCAGCAUCGGCUAACUCCGUGCCAGCAGCCGCGGUAAUACGGAGGAUGCAAGCGUUAUCCGGAAUCAUUGGGCGUAAAGCGUCCGCAGGUGGUCAAUCGUGUCUGCCGUUAAAGACAGAAGCUCAACUUCUGAGAGGCGGUGGAAACUGGUUGACUAGAGUACGGUAGGGGUUGAGGGAAUUCCCAGUGUAGCGGUGAAAUGCGUAGAUAUUGGGAAGAACACCAGUGGCGAAGGCGCUCAACUGGGCCGUAACUGACACUCAGGGACGAAAGCUAGGGUAGCGAAAGGGAUUAGAUACCCCUG
RNAcentral lists this ribosomal RNA (719 nucleotides) under Dermocarpella sp. HSC1. Its description in RNAcentral is "bacterial SSU rRNA". It matches the Rfam family "Bacterial small subunit ribosomal RNA", at positions 30 to 790 of the family's 1533-position model. The record is from RNAcentral. Lineage: Bacteria; Bacillati; Cyanobacteriota; Cyanophyceae; Pleurocapsales; Dermocarpellaceae.